Molecule: transfer RNA, 68 nt
Filed under: Marmota monax (woodchuck)
Lineage: Eukaryota; Metazoa; Chordata; Mammalia; Rodentia; Sciuridae
Description: tRNA.Val
Source: RNAcentral
GGAUUGUAACUCAGUGGUAGAGUGCUAAUCUAACAUGUGUGAGGUACUGGGUUCAAUCCUCAGCACCA